Dermacentor silvarum is the source of this 2164-nucleotide long non-coding RNA. RefSeq lists it as uncharacterized. The transcript is spliced from 3 exons. NCBI's taxonomy places the organism in Eukaryota, Metazoa, Arthropoda, Arachnida, Ixodida, Ixodidae. The record is from RefSeq and is a predicted model, not a curated record.
UCUCAACAGGGGAAGGGUUAGUGAUUUUUUUGUUAGCACUUCGUUGGCAAUGUUGAAGAGCCGUUCCACCGAAGCGCUCGAGGUUACUGCUGUGUUGUACUUGAGGAAAAGUUCAAUCCCUCGAAGUUCUUCAUCUGCGACAGAGGGUGGUCAACUGGUACUAGCAAGUACCGCGACAGCUCAUGCUGUGCCUCGGCUGGAAGGGUUCAGUGCCCGUGAGGACUUUCCGUCCGCCGCGACGUCCCUCGAGUGGCGCUGCGAUCCUGACGUCAUGGUUGCAGGCCAACAUGGAGGAAAGAAACUGCAGGAGGGAGCGUCACGUGACAAUCUUGAAGUCUAGUAAUAAAAAGUACAACGGAGAACUCAUGAAAAAAUAUGCCCCGCAGUCACGUGACAGGCAAAAGGUAGUUCUUUUGUGCCUCACGUGGUCGCCCAUCCACCCUGCGUGAUGUGCUGCGUACAUGCGUGCGUCUGUUCAAUGCUGUGGAAUGUUUACAGAAGGAAUGCCGUUCCCUCUGCCGUUCAUUCGUAAACGUAACGAGUUACCGUUACAGUUCCACCAAUCCUUAAUGGAACAGUGGCGUUCCUCCGUUCCUCCCAAAAGGAACUAGUUCCAGGAACGCCAUUCUGUACAACACUGUGCAUCACUGACUUAAUGUCUGUUAGGUGGUUAGGUUAGGUCUAGUGGGGACAGAAGACAAAAACAUUCGUGUACUGUGCAUUGGGUAUGCAUUAGGGAACCUCAGGUGGUAAAAAUUAAAGCGGAAUCCCCCACUAUUGUGUGCCUCGUAAUCCGAUUGUGGUUUUGGCCCUAGAAUUUAAUUAAUUAAUCCUCUUACAGAGUUGGGUACAUGUGCACAGCCAAGGCUUCUCCACGUGGAUAGUAGUUCUGGAGUGUCCACAUUGGGCAACAGUAAAGCAGAUGGGGACAGAAGGAAGCAACAUGUCCAUUGCAGCACGCACACCACUGUGCUCAUCGCAUUGGCAAAAGCUGCGCAGACAGAGGCCUCAUGGCUGACCAAGGCCAGUGUGGAUGUUGCAGUUGGAACGUCGGAAAUCGGUUGUAAAGAUGUGUGCACGUCAACCUAAUUGGAUAUUGCCUGCCAAUGUGAAGGUGCACUGAUAGACAAAAGCCAUGGAUCUUGGAGACUUUCAGCGCAGUGCCUCUAAGUCUCUAGAACUGUCUAGUCUGCAGAAGUUUAAGGAGAGCUUAUGACAAAGUGUAACAAGACAUAAUUGUGCCAGCGACAAUUAUGUGGAGGAAACCAAGGCCGGUCCUCAAGAAUCAGUUUCUCUGAAGCCACUUAUCUGACAUGUGCAAGCCAUUGCAACGAGCUGACCUUCAGAAACAUAAUGCCCUAGAGGGGUUCUCAGAGGAGAACAUGGCUACCUGGUUUAUUGUGCUCGUGCUUCAGUUCUGCAUCACUGUUGACUCGAGCAAGGCAAUGAAAUAUCACCUUGCUAAGAUGCACCAAACCGAUGGCCUGUUCAUGUGACAACGCUGCUGCCACCUGGCCCUCGGCUAUUGCAUCACAUCAAGGCUGAUCAGUCAUGGUGAAGAUGUCGGAGAGCCUGCAAGUUAAGUUAGCCGACUCAAAAUUGGCUUCUUUUUUUGUAUGUGCACGGCUUGAAACCGGUGGAAAGGUAGGCAAACAUUUGUCCUUAUGCUCCAGAUUUUCCUUGAGCGAGUGCGACAUUUCAUAGUCAAGCUCAGUAAUACUCGUGCUUCUAGCAGCUUCAUUUCUUGUGAUAAAAACUGGACAUGCUCAUUUUGUGUAUAUAUCAUGUGUAUAUAUAGGUUCACAAGUCUUGCAAGACCGAGUACCUCGAAAAGUCGCGAAUGUUUUUUUUUUUUUGUACUUACCAUUAUAUUUAUGCACUAGGAUUCAUUUGUGGACAUCUUUCUGAAGUGCUCGAUGCUCAAGGAUGUCUUUCGAGUGUGCAUAUCUUUAAUGUUAUAUUCUGCACUGGCAAGAGCGCACUGCCUUUGUUACGUUUACUCCUUUUGCAAGGAAUGCAUAAAGUAAUUUAGAAACAACUUUUGAACACUGUAGUCGUUUUCAUACUGUGGAUUUAUACUGCCAUGUAUAUUUCUAUUUAUGCAGCGUUAAUAAACUUGAAGCCAUGUGGGAUUGCAAUGAAAUAAAGUUGUGUUGGCUUGGAA